Molecule: ribosomal RNA, 253 nt
Filed under: uncultured bacterium
Lineage: Bacteria
Description: partial 16S ribosomal RNA
Rfam family: Bacterial small subunit ribosomal RNA
Source: RNAcentral
GACGUAGGGUGCAAGCGUUGUUCGGAAUUAUUGGGCGUAAAGAGCUUGUAGGCGGUUUGUCGCGUCUGCUGUGAAAAUCCGGGGCUCAACCCCGGACUUGCAGUGGGUACGGGCAGACUAGAGUGUGGUAGGGGAGACUGGAAUUCCUGGUGUAGCGGUGAAAUGCGCAGAUAUCAGGAGGAACACCGAUGGCGAAGGCAGGUCUCUGGGCCACUACUGACGCUGAGAAGCGAAAGCAUGGGGAGCGAACAGG